UGGGGAAUUUUGGACAAUGGGCGAAAGCCUGAUCCAGCAAUGCCGCGUGUGUGAAGAAGGCCUUCGGGUUGUAAAGCACUUUUGUCCGGAAAGAAAUCCUUGGCUCUAAUACAGUCGGGGGAUGACGGUACCGGAAGAAUAAGCACCGGCUAACUACGUGCCAGCAGCCGCGGUAAUACGUAGGGUGCAAGCGUUAAUCGGAAUUACUGGGCGUAAAGCGUGCGCAGGCGGUUUGCUAAGACCGAUGUGAAAUCCCCGGGCUCAACCUGGGAACUGCAUUGGUGACUGGCAGGCUAGAGUAUGGCAGAGGGGGGUAGAAUUCCACGUGUAGCAGUGAAAUGCGUAGAGAUGUGGAGGAAUACCGAUGGCGAAGGCAGCCCCCUGGGCCAAUACUGACGCUCAUGCACGAAAGCGUGGGGGAGCAAACAGGAUUAGAUACCCUGGUAGUCCACGCCCUAAACGAUGUCAACUAGUUGUUGGGGAUUCAUUUCCUUAGUAACGUAGCUAACGCGUGAAGUUGACCGCCUGGGGAGUACGGUCGCAAGAUUAAACUCAAUGAAUUGACGGGGUCAUAGCUGUUUCCU
RNAcentral lists this ribosomal RNA (584 nucleotides) under uncultured bacterium. RNAcentral describes it as "partial 16S ribosomal RNA". It matches the Rfam family "Bacterial small subunit ribosomal RNA", at positions 355 to 1375 of the family's 1533-position model. The record is from RNAcentral.